This 468-nucleotide ribosomal RNA is filed under the name uncultured bacterium. Its description in RNAcentral is "partial 16S ribosomal RNA". It matches the Rfam family "Bacterial small subunit ribosomal RNA", at positions 28 to 507 of the family's 1533-position model. The record is from RNAcentral.
GACGAACGCUGGCGGCGUGCUUAACACAUGCAAGUCGAACGGAAAGGCCCUGCUUUUGUGGGGUGCUCGAGUGGCGAACGGGUGAGUAACACGUGAGUAACCUGCCCUUGACUUUGGGAUAACUUCGGGAAACUGGGGCUAAUACCGGAUAGGAGCUCCUGCUGCAUGGUGGGGGUUGGAAAGUUUCGGCGGUUGGGGAUGGACUCGCGGCUUAUCAGCUUGUUGGUGGGGUAGUGGCUUACCAAGGCUUUGACGGGUAGCCGGCCUGAGAGGGUGACCGGCCACAUUGGGACUGAGAUACGGCCCAGACCCCUACGGGAGGCAGCAGUGGGGAAUAUUGCACAAUGGGCGGAAGCCUGAUGCAGCAACGCCGCGUGCGGGAUGACGGCCUUCGGGUUGUAAACCGCUUUCGCCUGUGACGAAGCGUGAGUGACGGUAAUGGGUAAAGAAGCACCGGCUAACUACGUG